CCUACGAAUUUUAAAUCGAGGCGUUUGCCGAUAUUGCUAUUUCGACAUUUUCUUAAGACGUUUAUACCGGUUAAUAGCCCCGCAUGGUCAAUUUACCACAUACAUCGAGUUGAAUCUAAGAAUAAAUACUGAAUACCACCACAUAAAGUAUUCUUUUUCGACACGAUCGGUCCGCUAUCUGUUUCCAUAACAGAAAAGUAAAUUGACCUACACUUUGCUAGUAGCAGAUGGAGAUGACUGGUACUAGACAUCGAACUAAAUCCACGUUCAAAAUUGGUCGCACUAAAGUCUCAUCUGUAUUUCAACUGGCUUAAGAAAGUAUAUUGUAUGUCAACACGGCAUGUACGUCCGUUUUCUGCAAAAGGAAGGGCUCUUUAUGAAGAGAGAAUUGAUGACUUUAGGAAGCGCUGUUCUGCUUCAUGGCGCAAAGUGACUGAAAGUUUGUGCAUAGUAAGUAGUUUAACUUAUGAGAGUAAUGUUGGUGAAAUUAACCUGAUUGAACAGCAAUUACCUAUGAAAGUUACGUAAAAGUUAAAGACGAAUUUGAAGUGUACUUAAAAAAUGUGAAGCAAGUCUUAAAGAAUUAUUGCGGCUCUCACUACAGACGUGUCGCUACAGGAAAAAGCAAAGUUACAUGCGCUGGAAAAGAUUGACCAAAAUAAACAAUCAAUAUUAAAAAAAGUCAUAUCCAGCAUGAAGCCAAACUAUGUCCAUGGUGGUGUGAAGACACACAGUUCGAGAUCCUCUAGCCGUAGGAGUGAACUCAUCGCAUUGAAACAAGCAGAAGCCGAAUCUGCCAAGAUAAAACUGAAAUAUACUCAACAAGAAGCAGCUCUUUUGAAACAAAAGGCAGAAUCAAAAGCGAAUCUUCAAGUUCUUUCUCAGCAAAAAGCUUUUGAAGCCGACGCUGCAGAAGUAAAGGUACUACAAGAGCAUGAUGUCGAAGGCUCUGAUGGGUCAGAAAGUCAUGUUGCACCAGACAUUAAAUUCAAAUUGCAAACUUUGCCUGUUGUAAAACCUGACAAUCUAGUUCAAGAAAUCCACAAACAAUCCAACAGUAUCUGACACUAAUAUGGGAGAAAAUCUGUGCAAAUUUCUCCUAAAAAAAGACUAGGCUCUCUCGCGACUGACUAUAUUUAGUGACAAAACUGAAUUUUUAUCCCUGGAAAUGUUUGUAUGAAUAUGUAAAAUGAUGACAAUUUAUAAUAGCUGUAUUAAUACAAGUAUCAAAAAUGUUGAUUUUUAAUGCAAAAAAUGACUUUUUUUGUGAAAAUGUUCGUUUUAAUACGAACAAAGAUGACAGUUAAUAAUACAGUGCCCCAGAUAAUUUUUCGGUAAAUAGGGUUUUCACCCAUUGAUUUUGAAAAAUAGGGUGAUUUCAUUCUUGAAAUAGGGUGAAAUGAGUUAUAAAAAUGCAUACUUUAAAAUUAUUGCUGCUUUACUUCUGUUGAAGCUGCACACUUGUAUUGAUUCAAUAAAAAUGCAAACUAUCAUAAUUAACUUAAAUAAACCAAUUUGGCACUUACUGGCCCUUGCUUUCUUGGUUCGAAAAAGUUUGCUAUCGACUGAUAUUUUUGCAAAACAAUCGGGGACGUCUUUCGACCUCUCUCAUACAUUUUUAUUUCGCAUCGUUAUUGAAAAUUAAAGUACAGACGUUUUAAAAAUACAUGCACAAUGAACGACGGAUAAAGUCAGAUUAAAAACACAUGUAUGUUGUCGUAAAUAAUUUGGUUAUUUUUUAUCUAUGAAAUCUAGUCCGCAGAGCAUUUGAAUAACUUUGACUGUUUUCCUGCUCCGUCAUACAGGCUCUUGCUGAAUGAAAGUGUCUAUAAUAAUUUAAAAGAGAAAAUACCGAAAAUUAGCAAAGCAUUUUCGAUCGAAGCUAUUGUAUCGUACACAUCAAGUUUGACAAAUUUGCGUAAACGUCAAAUUUGUUGCGUUUUCAAUACGCAUGAUUUUGUAUUUCUUUGCGUUUUAUAACAAUUUAAUAGGGUGAAAGACGCAGAUACGCAGCUUAUCUGGGGCACUGAUAAUAGUUCGUAUUAAUACGAAAUAUCAAAAAUGUUGAUUGUUAAUGCAAAA
Dreissena polymorpha is the source of this 2082-nucleotide long non-coding RNA. RefSeq lists it as uncharacterized. NCBI's taxonomy places the organism in Eukaryota, Metazoa, Mollusca, Bivalvia, Myida, Dreissenidae. The transcript has 2 exons. The record is from RefSeq and is a predicted model, not a curated record.